Molecule: ribosomal RNA, 803 nt
Filed under: uncultured Bacillota bacterium
Lineage: Bacteria; Bacillati; Bacillota
Description: bacterial SSU rRNA
Rfam family: Bacterial small subunit ribosomal RNA
Source: RNAcentral
CUUCCUGUAGCAAUACAGGGAGUGGGCGCACGGCGCACGGGUGCGUAACACGUGGGCAAUCUGCCCUCGGAUGGGGGAUAACUCGUCGAAAGGCGAGCUAAUACCGCAUGACAUUCCGAAGACUCCGGUCUUUGGACUCAAAGGCCGCAAGGCCGUCUGAGGAGGAGCCCGCGCCCGAUUAGCUAGUUGGUGAGGUAAUGGCUCACCAAGGCUUUGAUCGGUAGCCGGUCUGAGAGGAUGGCCGGCCACACUGGAACUGAGACACGGUCCAGACUCCUACGGGAGGCAGCAGUGGGGAAUAUUGCGCAAUGGGCGAAAGCCUGACGCAGCGACGCCGCGUGGGGGAUGAAGCUUCUCGGAGUGUAAACCCCUUUCGACCCGGACGAAUGACCCGCAAGGGUUUGACGGUACGGGUAUAAGAAGCCCCGGCUAACUACGUGCCAGCAGCCGCGGUAAUACGUAGGGGGCCAGCGUUGCUCGGAAUUACUGGGCGUAAAGGGUUCGUAGGUGGUGCGGCAAGUUGGGAGUGAAAUCUCUGGGCUUAACUCAGAGGCUGCUUUCAAAACUGCCGUGCUCGAGUGCGAGAGAGGCCAGUGGAAUUGCAGGUGUAGCGGUGAAAUGCGUAGAUAUCUGCAGGAACACCCGUGGCGAAGGCGGCUGGCUGGAUCGCAACUGACACUGAGGAACGAAAGCUAGGGGAGCAAACAGGAUUAGAUACCCUGGUAGUCCUAGCCCUAAACCAUCAGAACUUGGGGUGGCCCGCGUAGGCGGGUCGUCCCGUAGCUAACGCGUUAAGUUCUGCG